Molecule: transfer RNA, 71 nt
Filed under: Camelus bactrianus (Bactrian camel)
Lineage: Eukaryota; Metazoa; Chordata; Mammalia; Artiodactyla; Camelidae
Also listed under: 1 other name
Rfam family: tRNA
About the family: Transfer RNA (tRNA) molecules are approximately 80 nucleotides in length.
Source: Rfam by way of RNAcentral
GAGUGUGUAGUUCUGUGGUAGAGUGUGUGCUUAGCAUGCACAAGGUCCUGGGUUCAAUCCCCAGUACCUCU